GCCUGAGUGGCUCAGUCGGUUAAGCAUCUGACUUCGGCUCAGGUCAUGAUCUCGCAGUUUGUGGGUUCGAGCCCCACGUCGGGCU
This 85-nucleotide transfer RNA is filed under the name Felis catus (domestic cat). It matches the Rfam family "tRNA". From Rfam's summary of the family: Transfer RNA (tRNA) molecules are approximately 80 nucleotides in length. Their secondary structure includes four short double-helical elements and three loops (D, anti-codon, and T loops). Lineage: Eukaryota; Metazoa; Chordata; Mammalia; Carnivora; Felidae. The record is from Rfam by way of RNAcentral. RNAcentral also lists the same sequence under 1 other name.